This 326-nucleotide ribosomal RNA is filed under the name uncultured eukaryote. RNAcentral's name for it is "partial 18S ribosomal RNA". It matches the Rfam family "Eukaryotic small subunit ribosomal RNA", at positions 1470 to 1796 of the family's 1831-position model. The record is from RNAcentral.
CCCUUAGAUGUUCUGGGCCGCACGCGCGCUACACUGAUGCAUUCAACGAGUCUAAAACCUGCUCUGAUAGGGGUGGGUAAUCUUUUGAAUGUGCAUCGUGAUUGGGAUAGAUGAUUGCAAUUUUUCAUCUUCAACGAGGAAUGCCUAGUAAACGCAAGUCAUCAGCUUGCAUUGAUUACGUCCCUGCCCUUUGUACACACCGCCCGUCGCUCCUACCGAUUGAAUGAUCCGGUGAAUAAUUCGGACUGCAGCACUGCUUGGUCUCCAGGCUUUGCAGCGGAAAGUUUAGCGAACCUUAUCACUUAGAGGAAGGAGAAGUCGUAACA